UCUAAAAGCCUAGGUUAGAUAUUCCACACUGUUACCAGGAUAUUUUAAACACUAUUUUUGAUUGGUGAAUUUAAGUAGUCCUAUUUUGAUUUAAUUAAAAUGACUGUCUUGCUGUCUUGAAUUCAUGUAAUAUUGUAAUUGAGCACAUUAACUAAAAUAAGACUUGUUUUAUUUUUCAAGUAAAACAAACUGUUGCCAUGGUGAAGCCUAUGCCGGACACGUCUCCAAUCAUGUAUUGCACCAUCUACAAGAAACUUUCGGAAUUGCAAGUGAUGCUGUCCUUCACAUUCUUGAGCAGAUGACCCAACAACUUCAAUCAAACAAAACCACUUUUCAGCUCUGUGGUGAUCGUGAAACCAACUUUCUACUGGCCAUUGGAACCAUGCCUGCCCUGAUCUUCUGAAAGGAGGACAUCAUAGCUACUACACCUUUCAGCAUGCAUGUGUGUGGCCACUCCUCUCUGUGCUGCUGACAGAUAUCUUGAGAACACCGUCCGUAACUGAGACAAGACUUCCACACAUAAAAGGCUAUGGCUGAUUGGAAGAUGUUCAUUGUGGAGUAAGCUCCUAUUGGUGACAUCUAAUCCCAAGUUUAUUUUUGCUUUGGACAAUUUGGUUUGUUUGACUCUUAGGGCAUCUUAUGAGUGCGACAGAUGUGUCAGAUCUUCAUUGUUCUGUCAUUUUACGGGGUUGUUUCAGAAUCAGAUGCCCAUCCAGACUUUAAAUUCUGACCAGUAGUCAUGUUUUACUAUGUUUAUGUGAAACUUAAACGUAAUAAAGAUGUUAAAAGUAA
This is a long non-coding RNA of Poecilia latipinna (sailfin molly), 792 nucleotides long. RefSeq lists it as uncharacterized. The transcript has 2 exons. NCBI's taxonomy places the organism in Eukaryota, Metazoa, Chordata, Actinopteri, Cyprinodontiformes, Poeciliidae. The record is from RefSeq and is a predicted model, not a curated record.